This 253-nucleotide ribosomal RNA is filed under the name uncultured bacterium. RNAcentral describes it as "partial 16S ribosomal RNA". It matches the Rfam family "Bacterial small subunit ribosomal RNA", at positions 524 to 776 of the family's 1533-position model. The record is from RNAcentral.
UACGUAGGGAGCAAGCGUUGUCCGGAAUCAUUGGGCGUAAAGCGCGCGUAGGCGGCCUCAUAAGUCUGUUGUGAAAGUCAAAGGCUCAACCUUUGAAAGCCGAUGGAUACUGUGAGGCUAGAGUCCGGAAGAGGCGAGUGGAAUUCCUGGUGUAGCGGUGGAAUGCGCAGAUAUCAGGAGGAACACCAAUGGCGAAGGCAGCUCGCUGGGACGUUACUGACGCUGAGACGCGAAAGCGUGGGGAGCAAACAGG